This 340-nucleotide ribosomal RNA is filed under the name uncultured bacterium. RNAcentral's name for it is "bacterial SSU rRNA". It matches the Rfam family "Bacterial small subunit ribosomal RNA", at positions 28 to 351 of the family's 1533-position model. The record is from RNAcentral.
GACGAACGCUGGCGGCGUGCCUAAUACAUGCAAGUCGAACGAGAAAGCCCGGCUUCGGUUGGGUUAGUAAAGUGGCGCACGGGUGCGUAACACGUGAGGAACAUGCCCCUAUGUCGGGGAUAAGCCUGCGAAAGCGGGUCUAAUACCGGAUGUUGUUACUGGAUCUCAUGAUCCGGCAAUUAAAGGCGGUUGAGUCUAUGCCGUCGCAUAGGGAUUGUCUCGCGGCCCAUUAGCUAGUUGGCGGUGUAAUGGACCACCAAGGCUCCGAUGGGUAGCCGACCUGAGAGGGUGACCGGCCACACUGGGACUGAGAUACGGCCCAGACUCCUACGGGAGGCAG